Capra hircus (goat) is the source of this 2444-nucleotide long non-coding RNA. NCBI's taxonomy places the organism in Eukaryota, Metazoa, Chordata, Mammalia, Artiodactyla, Bovidae. The record is from Ensembl.
CUAAGUUCUGCACAAAACCGUGCCCCCCACUGCAUUGUGCAAAGCCGCUCAGAGGCGUCCUUGAAAGAAUCUUGUGAAAAGAGAAUGGAGCUGAGGCUGUGAAACCAGACAGCACCCCCUCAAAACCAGAUUUUUGUGGCCCCAAACAAUUCUGUCUCUUUGUGUGGGAUAGCUAGUGGUUGGUGAGUCAUGUUACCAGGUGUAUUUAUAGACCAUGAAUUUGAAAUAAAUAAAUAAAAGCAGUUAUCGCCUCUUGAGAGUCUCAGAAUGAGCAAAAAGAAUAGCCAACGGAACAUCUGCAAGUCAGAACUCUUGCUAUUAUGAGAGAGCAGGCUGAACUCUACUGACCAGCCUAGGAUAAAAGAGUUCAUUCACAAGACAGGAGAUCGGCCUGAGUCCUCUGUGUAGCCCACAAGAUUAUUCACACAGCAGCUUGCGCCUGAGAAAUGAGGAACACAUGUAUUGUGGAAUCACUAGUGAUGGCUGCCAGGGAACAAGAUCAUUCUUGGAAGUCUGACUGUAAUGUGGAUUGUCAUUCAUGACUCAACCUUCAAGGAUAUACUACAAUAAAAAGAAAAAUAUGAAGAAAGCUACUGGGAAAAUUUCAGCUGAAAAAACAUGAGCUGGACUUGAACUUAGGUUAACUUCACCUGCCCAGCAAACAAGGCCCAUCCUUUCUUAACUUCGACUUUCUAUGGACAAAUUUAUCUGCCUACUAGAUUACAGAGCACUGCAGGAACUUCUGAAACUACAAUUUGAAGUCUCAUCCAUGGAGUGGGCACACUGCCCAGGACCCUUUCUCAACUGGGACUCCAGACAGCGGUUAAUGAGGGACUUCCCAGCAUGCUGUUCAAGUCUAGAUGUUCGUCGGCCCAUUUGGUGAUACUGUGGCUCACCAGGCUCCACGGAAUUCUCCAGGCAAGAAUACUACAGUGAGUGGCCAUUCCUCUCUCCAAGGGAUCCUCCCAAACCAGGAUUGGACCUGGCAUAAUAUGAUAAGGGCAGGUACAGAACAGGGAUAUUGGUAAUGUGGAUGGAUGGCAGAAAGGUUGCUGAGGGGGAAAAGAGUGGAAAAUGAAGGAGAAGAAAAAGUUAGAGAUGACUUCUAGAACACUUACUCAAGAAAAUAAAUGAAAGAGACAGUCAUUUAGUUACCCAAACUGGAGAAAUGGUCCUCUAUGUCUUUUAAGCUCACAGAGUAAACAUUACCAUCUACUUGAUCUGGAUAUAGAGUUAGCCCAAGGUCCUAUAAAACCUAAAAUGUAAAAGGCCUGUUAUAAACAUGGGUAAUAACUCCCACAAGGAAGCAUGAAUAUGUGUUUUUUAUAAUAUAACAUAAUAGUUCUUAAAAUACCAUGGAAUAUAAAAAUUCCUUUAAAAUCCUUAGCAGUUUAUCUUUCCAUCUGCAAUAGUUGACUAUCAUCCCAUCUCUUUGAGAGUAUUACCUAUACAGUCAGUGACCUGGCUCCUCUACCCAACAGAACUCCCCCACAUACUAAGAAAUCUGAAACUGAUAGGCUGACAAUAUUCUGUCAAAUUUCAGGGCAUGUGAACAUAAAAACUCAUGUUCCUAUAAAAGAGCUGCAAUAAAGGCUUUACUGAAUCAUAUCAGGCUUUCGUUACUCACUGGAGUAACCUGUGAGUUGAAAACAAACAGCUUCUCAGCCCUACUUGCUCUGUUCUUGGCUCAUCAGAAGUGAAUGAGGAAAACCAGAGACUAUUUUUAAGAUGAUGGGAAGGUUACCAAGAACAUACAUUCUGAUGAAAUUCUCAAAGCAAGUUCACACUUUAGUUAGCAGUGUGUUUUGCCUUCAUCAAAGUUUUUGAUCACAAAUCAUAAAAAAUCUAUCCUAGAUACUGACACUAAAUAUGGGACAACCUUCUGUACUCCUUUUUCCAUGUCUUAAAGUCAUAUGGAUUAAAAGUGUUGAGAUAGACAUAUAUUUAAUGAAUUUGCCAGUUUCAUUCUGUGGAAGUAUCUUGAAAAGGGUCUUGAACUUCAUUGGAGAAGUUUGAAAAUAAUUAGCUUUUAAUUAUACUGCUCUUAAGAUAUAAGAAAUUUUGGACUUAAAUUCAAGCCUACUUAUAGGUUAAGUUAGAGUAAUAUACAGCAAUUUGGCAGGAGUCAAGAAAUCCUGAAUUACAAAUGGACAAGAAAGCAUGGGUAGGUCAUUGAUUACAAAAAUUCCUAAUUGGCAGAUAUGCAAAUCAAACAUUUCAUUUAUAGAAAUUAAUUUAUGCUUCACUACUUUUUAAAAAUUUUAGUUCCUCAGUAGUUCAGAGUAAUUUUUAUUUCUACAAGUCAAAUAAGUGUUGGUCACAGCAAACUUGAGGGUUUUUUUUUUUUUUAAUCAUCAUUGCACACUCAUCCCAAACUGGGAGUAUCUAGUGUGUCAGUAAUUCUGUAUGUGGACUCUUUCUAAUCAUAUCAUGAUUAUUCCUAU